RNAcentral lists this ribosomal RNA (493 nucleotides) under uncultured bacterium. Its description in RNAcentral is "partial 16S ribosomal RNA". It matches the Rfam family "Bacterial small subunit ribosomal RNA", at positions 28 to 507 of the family's 1533-position model. The record is from RNAcentral.
GACGAACGCUGGCGGCGUGCUUAACACAUGCAAGUCGAACGGUGAAGGGACCGGUUUUUGCUGGUUCUGGAUGAGUGGCGAACGGGUGAGUAACACGUGAGUAACCUGCCCCCUUCUUCUGGAUAACCGCAUGAAAGUGUGGCUAAUACGGGAUAUUCUGCGCCUGCUGCAUGGUGGGUGUGGGAAAGAUAUUGUUUCGGUGGGGGAUGGGCUCGCGGCCUAUCAGCUUGUUGGUGGGGUGAUGGCCUACCAAGGCGGUGACGGGUAGCCGGCCUGAGAGGGUGGACGGUCACACUGGGACUGAGACACGGCCCAGACUCCUACGGGAGGCAGCAGUGGGGAAUAGUGCACAAUGGGCGCAAGCCUGAUGCAGCGACGCCGCGUGAGGGAUGGAAGCCUUCGGGUUGUAAACCUCUUUCGCCAGUGAAGCAGGCCUGUCCCCUUUGUGGGUGGGUUGACGGUAGCUGGAGAAGAAGCGCCGGCUAACUACGUG